This is a long non-coding RNA of Wyeomyia smithii (pitcher-plant mosquito), 1027 nucleotides long. RefSeq lists it as uncharacterized. Lineage: Eukaryota; Metazoa; Arthropoda; Insecta; Diptera; Culicidae. The transcript has 4 exons. The record is from RefSeq and is a predicted model, not a curated record.
CUAUUUUUACAAAUAAUAAGUUUGAAUGAGAAAGGCUGAGUCUGACCGAUAGGUGGAUUAAUUUAGGUUUUAGUUUAGUCUCCACUCCAGUGUUAUUGUGUUGCUUGUCUCUGUUUAUCGGUUUUGAUCGUUUUGAUUGAGUGUUCACGAGUAAGGAAAUUACUUCUGCGUGGUACAAGCCGCUGAAGCUAGCGGUCACCGUGGUUCCGCAGCAAUGAAUUGUCAGGAAAGGCAGCUACCUCAAUUUACGAAUUCGGCUUAUAUCAUUUGAUAGAAAAUAACGAAACUUCAAUGAAAUUCACACCAAAAGAAGAUGGUGCAUCUGACCGCGAUGAGUAGUUGCUGGAGGAUUGAUUACUGAUGAUGCGGGAGGAGAGGAUGGAACAAUGUAGCUACAACAAAACGACAACACCGAAAAAGAAAGGUGUAAGAGAUUGUGUAUUAGGCUACUUUCUGCAUAGAUUUAAGUUAUAUAUAUUGUUUAUUCAAAAGCAAGCUUAAUCUGUAAUCGGUUAAUCUGUAUUUAGGACAUAAGAAAAAGAUUCAACACCAUGUAUUUCUAGUGAAUGUACGAAAAUGGAAUGUUUUGAAGUAGAAUACUUCUCUCAGGAAGUUCGGCUACAUAGGGAUGUGAAAUGAAAAUCUAAAACCGAAAAAAGUGAAAAAUAUGUCCAAUUUCAAAUGCUAAUAAAUCGGUUAGUAUUCGAUGGAUUUCCUUCGUUCUUGCAGCAAUAGAUUGGAAAAUCUUCUAAGAUUCUUCCCAAAAUAACAUAAUUGUAAUUUUAUUAUUCACACUAUUGUACUAUUGAAAAUAGUCAAGCCUUGUCAAAACGAAAAAUUCGACCUCUGAUUGGUCGUUAUAUGCUUGCUUCCCAAGCACGGUCGACAGGAUCAUAUACCUUGCAAUUGAAAACAUGCUAUUUGGCCUAUAUAAGAGCCUUUUUCAGCCGGAGCCGCUCAUAUUCUUCGUCUCACGCUUGGUGUGUACAGACGUGUUUGUUACAACAACUGAAAGUUUUAGUUUACC